Molecule: long non-coding RNA, 656 nt
Filed under: Capsicum annuum
Lineage: Eukaryota; Viridiplantae; Streptophyta; Magnoliopsida; Solanales; Solanaceae
Description: long non-coding RNA (CANN_LNC006141)
Source: RNAcentral
AAAAAUUCAAUUUCUGUUUUUGAAACUUUACUUUUCUGGCAAAUAAAUGGAAUUUCUUUUUAUAAUAAUAUUUGUUUGGGAUAAUUUUCUUUUUAGUUUUGAUGUGAUUUCAGGAGCCUGCCCGAAGCACAGGACGAAUAAAUGGAAAACUAAGCAACAAGGUGAAGAAAUUGAAAGUUGAACAGAUUGAAAAAUAGCAAGUCAGGAGCCCGCCUGCAGAACAGGGUGAAGAAGUUGAAAGCAUAGCAACAAGUUGAUGAAAUAGCAAGUCAGGAACUCGCCUGGAGAACAGGGUGAAGAAAUUGAAAGACAAGCAACAAGUUAAAGAAAUAGCAAGUCAGGAGCCCGCCUGAAGAAUAGGGUGAUGAAACUCAAGUCAAGAGACCAAAAGAAGCUGUAUAGAUAGGAUUUUUUAAAUUUCAUUUAUGCUUUAACUUGUAAUUUUCAUUUUUUUUAAUGUAAUGACAGAGCCGUGAACCGGAAUCUCGAUGGAACCUCACUCCACUCUCCAACUCGGUAUAGUCCAUCUCUUUCCUAUCAUUUGAGAUACCUGUCACUCGAUUCCCUCAUAACUUGGGUAGGUAGGAUAUCCUAAGUCAAGACCCGAUUGUCCUUCUUUCUUUUGUUUUUUCCUUUAAAUAACGGUCGGAACAAAA